RNAcentral lists this ribosomal RNA (253 nucleotides) under uncultured bacterium. RNAcentral's name for it is "partial 16S ribosomal RNA". It matches the Rfam family "Bacterial small subunit ribosomal RNA", at positions 524 to 776 of the family's 1533-position model. The record is from RNAcentral.
UACGAGGGGGGCAAGCGUUGUUCGGAAUUAUUGGGCGUAAAGGGCGCGUAGGCGGUGCGGUAAGUCACCUGUGAAAACUCUGGGCUCAACUCAGAGCCUGCAGGCGAAACUGCCGUGCUUGAGUGUGGGAGAGGUGCGUGGAAUUCCCGGUGUAGCGGUGAAAUGCGUAGAUAUCAGGAGGAACACCGGUGGCGAAGGCGGCUAUCUGGACAGAGUCUGACGCUGAGGCGCGAAAGCUAGGGGAGCAAACAGG